UGGCUACAUGUGUGAUGCUUACA
This 23-nucleotide microRNA is filed under the name Cordylochernes scorpioides. The record is from RNAcentral. Lineage: Eukaryota; Metazoa; Arthropoda; Arachnida; Pseudoscorpiones; Chernetidae.